This is a non-coding RNA of Chelonoidis abingdonii (Abingdon island giant tortoise), 872 nucleotides long. Lineage: Eukaryota; Metazoa; Chordata; Testudines; Testudinidae. The record is from RefSeq and is a predicted model, not a curated record.
AUGGUUUGCUAAACGCACCUUUCUCUUUCAGAUCUUUUAUGACCUGGUCAGACAAAUAAACAGAAAAACACCAGUGGAAAAGAAGAAGCCUAAAAAGAAGUCAUGUCUGCUGCUUUAGACCCACAGCACGCAGCAGCUCUGAGCCAGAUUGCAGGAAUGAAGAACUGUUGCCCAAUUGGAAAGUGCCAGCAUUCCAGAUGUCAAAAAAUGACAAAGUAACAACAUAUCUGAAGAUGCUUCUCCUGUUUUUAUAUAUUAUGUGAAGAAUUUAGAUCUUAUAAUGGUUUGCACAAGAUCCCUGGAAAAAGAAAUUGCUCUGUGUAUAUCUCUUGGAAAUUAAGACCAUAGUAUUUCUCCUUUGCAAUAGCGGUUAACAGAUGUGAAAAUAAAUAUAAUUGACUCUAGUGUAUAAUUAUACAAAAGAGCAUGGAUGCAUUUCAAAUGUUAGAUAUUGCUACUAUAAUUAAAAUAAUUUCAUAUUGACCUUUUUAUCAUCAUUCUUCCCCAUCAAGCACUAAAAAUGUUCAACCAUUAUACUUUUAUAUCUAUAAUUAUAUAGAUAUAUACUAUAUGAAUUUUCCCUUUGAACUCACUGCAGCACGUAACUUUUUGAGUCAUUGACUUCAUUUUAUAUUUAAAAGUUAUGGAAUAUCAUUAUUUUCAUUCUACCAUUAUAUUCUAAUUAAAAAUGUUUGUGCAUAAUGCUUUGGAAAAAUGGGUCUUUUAUAGGAAAAAACUGGGAUAACUGAUUUCUAUGGCUUUCAAAGCAAAAAUAUAUAAUAUACUAAACCAACUCUAAUAUUGCUUUUGUGUUUUACUGUCACAGAUUAAAUUACAGCUUUUAUGAAUGAUUAAAUUUUAGUACAUUUUAA